Molecule: ribosomal RNA, 460 nt
Filed under: uncultured bacterium
Lineage: Bacteria
Description: partial 16S ribosomal RNA
Rfam family: Bacterial small subunit ribosomal RNA
Source: RNAcentral
CCUACGGGAGACAGCAGUGAGGAAUAUUGGUCAAUGGGCGGGAGCCUGAACCAGCCAAGUCGCGUGAGGGAAGACGGUCCUAUGGAUUGUAAACCUCUUUAGGCGGGGAGCAAUGCCGGGCACGCGUGCCCGGAGGGAGAGUACCCGCAGAAUAAGCAUCGGCUAACUCCGUGCCAGCAGCCGCGGUAAUACGGAGGAUGCGAGCGUUAUCCGGAUUGAUUGGGUUUAAAGGGUGCGUAGGCGGAUUUUUAAGUCAGCGGUAAAAUGUCCGGGCUCAACCCGGGCCGGCCGUUGAAACUGGGGAUCUUGAGUGGGCGAGAAGUAUGCGGAAUGCGUGGUGGAGCGGUGAAAUGCAUAGAUAUCACGCAGAACUCCGAUUGCGAAGGCAGCAUACCGGCGCCCGACUGACGCUGAGGCACGAAAGCGUGGGGAUCGAACAGGAUUAGAUACCCGGGUAGUC